UCGGGAAUUUUGGGCAAUGGGGGAAACCCUGACCCAGCAACGCCGCGUGAAGGAUGAAGUAUUUCGGUAUGUAAACUUCGAAAGAAUAGGAAGAAUAAAUGACGGUACUAUUUAUAAGGUCCGGCUAACUACGUGCCGGCAGCCGCGGUAAUACGUAGGGACCAAGCGUUGUUCGGAUUUACUGGGCGUAAAGGGCGCGUAGGCGGCAUGACAAGUCACUUGUGAAAUCUCUGGGCUUAACCCAGAACGGCCAAGUGAUACUGUCGCGCUAGAGUGCAGAAGGGGCAAUCGGAAUUCUUGGUGUAGCGGUGAAAUGCGUAGAUAUCAAGAGGAACACCUGAGGUGAAGACGGGUUGCUGGGCUGACACUGACGCUGAGGCGCGAAAGCCAGGGGAGCAAACAGGAUUAGAUACCCGGGUAGUCCCUGAGCGGGCUGGCAAGGCGCAU
RNAcentral lists this ribosomal RNA (447 nucleotides) under uncultured bacterium. RNAcentral's name for it is "bacterial SSU rRNA". It matches the Rfam family "Bacterial small subunit ribosomal RNA", at positions 355 to 825 of the family's 1533-position model. The record is from RNAcentral.